Molecule: long non-coding RNA, 1173 nt
Organism: Notechis scutatus (mainland tiger snake)
Lineage: Eukaryota; Metazoa; Chordata; Lepidosauria; Squamata; Elapidae
Source: RefSeq, a predicted model, not a curated record
GCGGUGGGACGUUAGUUAGAUAAAUAGGAAUGGGAAAAUAAUUACAGGAUAUAUUUUUUUCCUUUGAAAUUGCAUGCGAGGGAUCCGUUGUGUCGGGGUCGGGAAGGAUUUAGGUUAACCGCCUCGCUCGUUUGCCUUUAAUUCUGGCUGAAAGGGGCGAGCAUCGGGCUCGUGGGAGGGGAUAAUGUGUGUUGUAGUUUGCGCGGGUGAAGGGCAACUUGGGUGGGGAUUUGCUUCCAUACCACUUGCCUUUUAAAUCGGAUGGCUUAUUAUAUAUAAUAUAAUAAUAAUGCCAAUAUCAGGGGUUUUCAGUUCAGUUGUAUAGAAUGCGAAGGUUGUGUGUGCUUUAUUUUUAUAGUUAUAAUUACGUGCGCUGAAGGUGGCAUAUAAUUUCCUUGUACGAGGUGCAAGGCCAAUAAAGUAAACUGAACUGAACUGAAGCCACGUGUUGCAUGGCAAAUCCGAAUCACUGAAGUUCUGGGAAUUCUGGGUUGAGAGGGAUCCCUGGGGGUCGGAGCAAAGCCCGGCCCUCAGUUGGCUUCUGAUGGUUAUAUAGAAGAAUUCUCCUGAAGCAACGUUUUUGUGGCCUUUUUGAUACAGCUACUAAAGUGGCCCUUUACCUUAUGGUAAAACGUGGGAACUAAAAAUACAAUAGGUAAUGUGAUUUACAUCUGAUUUAAGGAGAUGCCUCUCAAACCUCUAGCUGUUGUUUGAGCUUUAGACAUGGACCGUUUUACUCUUGGGUGAUAAAAAGGAAUCGCUGUUUUGCUUUUUUAAAAGAAUUAAUACAUAUGCAAUGUUUGGAACAUGGAGUCCCAAAAUUUGAGGAAACAAAUUUCUCUUGGAGGAUAACCAGGUAUGUUUUUAAAAGGCCAAACAUUUCAUGUUGUGGAUUCUUCAUCAAUGUUGCAGAAAACUCAACUUUCAUCUGAUUUUUCCAUCUGUUUUUUAAAACUUAACUCCCUUUAAUGGAUCAGAUUUCCAAGAGAAAAUGGGGAGAUGAAGUUCAAGGUUUGUCAAAAGUAUAGAAGUCAACGUCUUGUAUUUUACUGAUUUUAUUUAUAAUAAAGAAAUACCUUAAUGUUGCCUUACGUGUUUUGAUUUCUAUACUGUAUUAUUAGAGGGGAUGCUGAAUUCAUAAGCAUUGUAAUAGUGCUUACAAUACUUUGUACA